RNAcentral lists this ribosomal RNA (254 nucleotides) under uncultured bacterium. RNAcentral describes it as "partial 16S ribosomal RNA". It matches the Rfam family "Bacterial small subunit ribosomal RNA", at positions 524 to 777 of the family's 1533-position model. The record is from RNAcentral.
UACAGAGGGGGCAAGCGUUAUUCGGAAUUAUUGGGCGUAAAGGGCGCGUAGGCGGCCUGGCAAGUGGAUGGUGAAAUCCCUCGGCUUAACCGAGGAACUGCCAUCCAGACUGCUUGGCUUGAGACCGGGAGAGGUGAGUGGAAUUCCCAGUGUAGCGGUGAAAUGCGUAGAUAUUGGGAGGAACACCAGUGGCGAAGGCGGCUCACUGGACCGGUACUGACGCUGAGGCGCGAAAGCGUGGGGAGCAAACGGGG